CAGGCCAACAGGCGGCUCCACGUGUUGACAGCACGGGGCAGAACCACCUGUUGCCAGCACCGCAACAGGGUCCCCGGCACCCAGUGUCCUGUCCAGGCUGCUGGCUUGUACGGCAAACCCGGCGCUGCCUGAAGCCUCCCUCUGGCCGCAGGAGCUGGACGUGCCUGGAGGUAGACGAUCCAGAGCACUGGACAAGGAGGAUGUAGUUGGAGGACAAGCGGCCGGCUUCCCCUCCUCCGGGGUGGGGUGUGGCGCAGCCCUGAGGCGUAUCUACAGUCUUCCCGAGGCCCCCAGUGCUGUAUGGGCUCCUGCCCAGCCCCAGCCCCCUCCUGGGGUGCCAGGGGUCACCUCCCACGCAAACUGUCCUGGAAUCUCAUCUCAGCAUCUGAACCUGAGAUCCACCCAAGUACGCCUCCUGCCCUCUCGCCUCACCACCCCCGGGUUGGCUUCUCAGCAGCCCCCUCACCCCUUGUCUCUUUCUGGGUCCCCAAAGCAUCCUUGUCCAGGGCAGAGGGAGGGCCUCCCUCUGAUGGUGGGGUUGCAGGCAGGGGGCAGGAAGGCAGCGCUGGAAAGGGGAUACCUCAGGAGGCGUGAGCAGGCUGGGCGCUCACUGCAUCGACCCAUCGAGUGUUGGAAACGUUGGCCAGCGCCCUAGAUUGCGGGUGCGCGGCCCCCCCAGGCCUGGGACAAUGGAGCCUGCCGGUUACAUAAAGCGCUCCUUACAUAACCAGCGUGAAGACACAUGAAAGCCGGGCAAGUCAAAACAACUGCGGCCGGGCGGGAAGGCUCUGUGGACAAACACCGGGGAGUGCUUUCACUUCGUACACUAGACUUCACAUGGGUGUUCACAGCCACACAGGUGGGGCAGAUUCCUCCCAGGAGAUGGUGGUGAUGGGAAUCGGAAGUCGCGUUGAACCUCCUCCGUAUCUCGCGCAGGACCCACAGCAAGCGCCCCAGAAAGCCAGCCGAUGGGAUCUCUCGGCAGCUGGCCUGUGCUGUCCGGCCGGGAGCUGGGAACAUUCUGAUCAUUUCUGAGUGAGUCCUUCAGUAGUCACGCCGUUGCUAGUUGCCAUCCCAAACGUAAGGACGGGAUGGAUGUGGGAUUCCCUGCCGUCAGAGUUUGCUAUCAGAACGUCCUCUGCCUGAGCUCAGGAGCCGAACAGAUUGAGAUGCAGGGGAUCCCGGCCUUCCGGAUGCACAUGGCGGCCUGUGACGGGGCCAGCACGCGUCGUCCCGAGACUCCACGGCAGCCCCUCUGUCCCGACUGCGGCCCAGGAUUAAAUCAGCACACCGUUAUCACUGCUUCAAGGGCAGUGCCCGCACAGGAGUAUGCAGACUUUGACUUGAAUUCUGGGUCUGGCAUUUAAUUCUCUAUGCAUCACUUUUCUCACCUGUAAAAUUACAAAAAUUAUAUCUAUUUCUUAGGGUUCUU
Eptesicus fuscus (big brown bat) is the source of this 1432-nucleotide long non-coding RNA. RefSeq lists it as uncharacterized. The transcript is spliced from 3 exons. NCBI's taxonomy places the organism in Eukaryota, Metazoa, Chordata, Mammalia, Chiroptera, Vespertilionidae. The record is from RefSeq and is a predicted model, not a curated record.